This 452-nucleotide ribosomal RNA is filed under the name uncultured bacterium. Its description in RNAcentral is "bacterial SSU rRNA". It matches the Rfam family "Bacterial small subunit ribosomal RNA", at positions 340 to 786 of the family's 1533-position model. The record is from RNAcentral.
UACGGGAGGCAGCAGUGGGGAAUAUUGCACAAUGGGCGCAAGCCUGAUGCAGCCAUGCCGCGUGUAUGAAGAAGGCCUUCGGGUUGUAAAGUACUUUCAGCGGGGAGGAAGGCGAUGCGGUUAAUAACCGCGUCGAUUGACGUUACCCGCAGAAGAAGCACCGGCUAACUCCGUGCCAGCAGCCGCGGUAAUACGGAGGGUGCAAGCGUUAAUCGGAAUUACUGGGCGUAAAGCGCACGCAGGCGGUCUGUUAAGUCAGAUGUGAAAUCCCCGGGCUUAACCUGGGAACUGCAUUUUGAAACUGGCAGGCUUGAGUCUUGUAGAGGGGGUAGAAUUCCAGGUGUAGCGGUGAAAUGCGUAGAGAUCUGGAGGAAUACCGGUGGCGAAGGCGGCCCCUGGACAAAGCUGACGCUCAGGUGCGAAAGCGUGGGGAGCAAACAGGAUUAGAUACC